UGCUGACGAGUGGCGAACGGGUGAGUAAUACAUCGGAACGUGCCUAGUAGUGGGGGAUAACUACUCGAAAGAGUAGCUAAUACCGCAUGAGAUCUACGGAUGAAAGCAGGGGACCUUUGGGCCUUGUGCUACUAGAGCGGCUGAUGGCAGAUUAGGUAGUUGGUGGGGUAAAGGCUUACCAAGCCUGCGAUCUGUAGCUGGUCUGAGAGGACGACCAGCCACACUGGGACUGAGACACGGCCCAGACUCCUACGGGAGGCAGCAGUGGGGAAUUUUGGACAAUGGGCGAAAGCCUGAUCCAGCAAUGCCGCGUGCAGGAUGAAGGCCCUCGGGUUGUAAACUGCUUUUGUACGGAACGAAAAGCCUGGGGCUAAUAUCCCCGGGUCAUGACGGUACCGUAAGAAUAAGCACCGGCUAACUACGUGCCAGCAGCCGCGGUAAUACGUAGGGUGCAAGCGUUAAUCGGAAUUACUGGGCGUAAAGCGUGCGCAGGCGGUUUUGUAAGACAGUGGUGAAAUCCCCGGGCUCAACCUGGGAACUGCCAUUGUGACUGCAAGGCUAGAGUGCGGCAGAGGGGGAUGGAAUUCCGCGUGUAGCAGUGAAAUGCGUAGAUAUGCGGAGGAACACCGAUGGCGAAGGCAAUCCCCUGGGCCUGCACUGACGCUCAUGCACGAAAGCGUG
RNAcentral lists this ribosomal RNA (681 nucleotides) under Comamonas sp. PK. RNAcentral's name for it is "bacterial SSU rRNA". It matches the Rfam family "Bacterial small subunit ribosomal RNA", at positions 86 to 763 of the family's 1533-position model. Lineage: Bacteria; Pseudomonadati; Pseudomonadota; Betaproteobacteria; Burkholderiales; Comamonadaceae. The record is from RNAcentral.